This 1341-nucleotide ribosomal RNA is filed under the name Triticum aestivum (bread wheat). RNAcentral describes it as "partial small subunit ribosomal RNA". Lineage: Eukaryota; Viridiplantae; Streptophyta; Magnoliopsida; Poales; Poaceae. The record is from RNAcentral.
AUGGACGGCGGCGGUGUGCAGAUCAUCUCCCGGCGUAUGGUCAGGCCGGAGUACCAAAAGAGGGAGCCUGAGACCACCGUCCACCUCACGCCAUGGGACCUGCAGCGGAUCACCGUGGACUACGCCCAGAGGGGCGUCGUCCUGCCCAAGCCUCCGCCCGGCGUGCUCCAACACCUCUCAUCGUCCUUUGCACGCGCCCUGGGCCGCUUCUACCCCCUCGCCGGCCGCUUGACCGUCUCCGACGGACCGGGCCUCACGAUCUCGCUCCGCUGCAGCGACCAAGGCGCCGAGUUCGUCCACGCCGUGGCGCCCGGGGUCACCAUCGCCGACAUCACCAGCACGCUCUGCAUCCCACGCGUGGUCUGGUCCCUGUUCCCUCUCAACGGGGUGGUCGGCACGGACGCCGCCGUGGACCCCAGCCUGCCCGUCCUGGCAGCGCAGGUCACCGAGCUCGCCGACGGCCUCGUCGUCGCCAUGUCGCUCAACCACGCCGCCGCCAACGGCACCACGUUCUGGGACGUGUUCAACACGUGGUCCGAGAUCAGCCGCAACGGAGACACCUCACUGUCCACGUCCACGUUGCCACUGCCCCUGCCCAAGAGGUGGUUCCUCGAGGGCUGCACCGUGCCGAUCCCGCUCCCCUUUGCCAAGGUGGAGGACAUGGCCAGGAAGCCGGAGUACCCGCCGGUGAAGGAAUGCUCGCUCCAUUUCUCCACGGAGAGCGUGAGGAAGCUGAAGGCGAAAGCGAACAAUGAGAUGUCGGCCGGCACAGGAGCCACCAUCUCCUCCCUGCAGGCCGUGCUCGCGCACCUGUGGCAGGCCACGUGCCGUGCCCGGGGGCUCGUGCAGGACCAGGAGACGACGUGCUCGCUCGCCGUCGGAUGCCGGGCGCGCCUGAAGGGCAUGCCGCAGGUCUACGUGGGCAACGCGGUAACGGGCGCCGUCGGCAGGGCCGCCGUGGGCGAGAUCCUGGGCGACGGCCGGCUGGGCUGGGCGGCGUUGCUCCUGAACCGGGCCGUGGCUGCGGUGGACGAGGCGAGCGUGAGGGAGGAGCUCGCGGCGUGGCCUGGAAACCCCAGCUUCAAGUACCUGGCCGGCGGCGGCGCGGCGAUCAUGGCCACGGGGUCGCCGCGGUUCGACGUGUACGGCAACGACUUCGGAUGGGGCAGGCCGGUGGCCGUCCGGAGCGGCCCCGCGAACAAGGUGGACGGGAUGGUCACGGUUUACGGGGACGGCGGAGGGAGCGGGGGCUUGGAGCUGCAGGUGUGCCUCGCCCCUGACGUGCUCGACAGGCUCGUCGCCGACGAAGAGCUGCUGACCUCGUACGGUACGCCGGUCUAG